CCACAGCCGUGCUCCAUGCCCUGGGGCGUCGCGGGGCUGUCCCUGCCUGGGCAGCGCAGGGCUGGGCUGUGUUCUCCGGCCUCUCCCGCAGCCCCUCAGCUCGGGCUGCGCUCGCUCUUUGCCAGGUGCAGCCGUGCAGCGCACACGAGAGCAGGAACGCACCCGUGGCUGCUUCCGCAGAACAGCGCAGGUACCUGCAGCCAUCCCCACCUGGGCUGGGCCUGCUGGCACUGCUCAGCCCAGCACUGUGCUCGGAGCACUCCAUGCAACAUCCCGGGCUUCUUGCCCUUCUGCUACAGAUGGUUUGCAAAUUCAUAAAGAGGAUUCAGGAGGAAGAGAGCAGCGUCAUGGGCACUGUGGUCAGAGCGUACUCUCCCAUCUUCAAAACCAAGGCCAGUGCUGCCCUGCUGGAUAUGCUUGUGGAGGAGGGUCCUUCCAGCCCAAAGCAAAGCUGCUUUGGCCAUGUGGAAGAGCAUCAUGUGCUCGCCCAGGACUGCAGAGCCGGCCAUGCUCGUACUCCUCGAUGUGCUGGGGAGCUGGCCAGAGCACAGCACGUGCACCUCCGAUGGGGACCACACGGCUGUCCUUGCCCUGGCUGUGAGUUUCUGCCUUUGCUGGCCCCAAGGCCACCCCUCCAGCAGCUCUCCAUCCUCCCUCCCCCACGGCGUCUCCCUGCCUCAGGUGCUGGGCUGAAACCUGGCCUCGGGGCAGCUUCAGGGCCACCAGGCCCGGUGCUCCCCCUUCGGUGCUCCCCCUGUGUCUCUCCGGGCCUCUCCCUCCCGUGCUUGGGCCCUGCCACACGGACACCUCGACACUGAGCGCUGUCUCGAGGGGCUUUGUCCUUUGCAGGCAACCGUGGUGAUGUGGAAGAUCCUCCAGCUGCCCUGUGUCCCACAGAUGGUGACCUUGUAUUUCCCCCGCCUGUUUGUCCAUCUGCUCUUCCAAGUGUUCUUCAGCACUCUGGAUAUGACAGAGGAGGUCGAUACCUUCUGGGAGGGAUGCCAGCAGCAACACGGCCUUGCCUCCAACCCCAGCCGGUGCUCCAUGCCAGUCCUCCUGUCCCUGCCAUGUGCCCAGGGCAGG
Molecule: long non-coding RNA, 1083 nt
Filed under: Taeniopygia guttata (zebra finch)
Lineage: Eukaryota; Metazoa; Chordata; Aves; Passeriformes; Estrildidae
Description: lncRNA (ENSTGUG00000022891.1)
Source: RNAcentral